GGUCCUAUGGUGUAGGGGUUAGCACUCUGGUCUUGAAAUCCAGCAACCCGGGAUCGAAACCCGGUGGGACCA
Molecule: transfer RNA, 72 nt
Organism: Saprolegnia diclina VS20
Lineage: Eukaryota; Oomycota; Saprolegniomycetes; Saprolegniales; Saprolegniaceae
Rfam family: tRNA
About the family: Transfer RNA (tRNA) molecules are approximately 80 nucleotides in length.
Source: Rfam